RNAcentral lists this unclassified non-coding RNA (270 nucleotides) under Glomus sp. RNAcentral describes it as "partial contains 5.8S ribosomal RNA and internal transcribed spacer 2". The stretch from base 1 to 71 matches the Rfam family "5.8S ribosomal RNA", at positions 84 to 154 of the family's 154-position model. The record is from RNAcentral. Lineage: Eukaryota; Fungi; Glomeromycota; Glomeromycetes; Glomerales; Glomeraceae.
GUGAAUCAUCGAAUCUUUGAACGCAAAUUGCACUCUCUGGUAUUCCGGAGAGUAUGCCUGUUUGAGGGUCAGUUUAAAUAAAAGUCGGUGUGGUUGCUGCCGUUGGGGGUGACUCACGGGAUUUGGGUCGUCGUGCCUUCGGUUAAGUUAUCUAAAGUUUGGCAUGAUUUUUUUCGAACGUAUUUAAAUUAUUUUACGUACGUUUGCGAUAUAGAAUACUAGGUGUGGUCAUCCUCGUGAUUCGCGCCUAUAAGUGUUCAUCAAUAUGAC